AUGCACAUGCUGUGAGCUCGAUGAGUAGGGCGGGACACGUGGUAUCCUGUCUGAAUAUGGGGGGACCAUCCUCCAAGGCUAAAUACUCCUGACUGACCGAUAGUGAACCAGUACCGUGAGGGAAAGGCGAAAAGAACCCCGGCGAGGGGAGUGAAAAAGAACCUGAAACCGUGUACGUACAAGCAGUGGGAGCACGCUUAGGCGUGUGACUGCGUACCUUUUGUAUAAUGGGUCAGCGACUUAUAUUCUGUAGCAAGGUUAACCGAAUAGGGGAGCCGAAGGGAAACCGAGUCUUAACUGGGCGUUAAGUUGCAGGGUAUAGACCCGAAACCCGGUGAUCUAGCCAUGGGCAGGUUGAAGGUUGGGUAACACUAACUGGAGGACCGAACCGACUAAUGUUGAAAAAUUAGCGGAUGACUUGUGGCUGGGGGUGAAAGGCCAAUCAAACCGGGAGAUAGCUGGUUCUCCCCGAAAGCUAUUUAGGUAGCGCCUCGUGAAUUCAUCUCCGGGGGUAGAGCACUGUUUCGGCAAGGGGGUCAUCCCGACUUACCAACCCGAUGCAAACUGCGAAUACCGGAGAAUGUUAUCACGGGAGACACACGGCGGGUGCUAACGUCCGUCGUGAAGAGGGAAACAACCCAGACCGCCAGCUAAGGUCCCAAAGUCAUGGUUAAGUGGGAAACGAUGUGGGAAGGCCCAGACAGCCAGGAUGUUGGCUUAGAAGCAGCCAUCAUUUAAAGAAAGCGUAAUAGCUCACUGGUCGAGUCGGCCUGCGCGGAAGAUGUAACGGGGCUAAACCAUGCACCGAAGCUGCGGCAGCGACACUAUGUGUUGUUGGGUAGGGGAGCGUUCUGUAAGCCUGUGAAGGUGUGCUGUGAGGCAUGCUGGAGGUAUCAGAAGUGCGAAUGCUGACAUAAGUAACGAUAAAGCGGGUGAAAAGCCCGCUCGCCGGAAGACCAAGGGUUCCUGUCCAACGUUAAUCGGGGCAGGGUGAGUCGACCCCUAAGGCGAGGCCGAAAGGCGUAGUCGAUGGGAAACAGGUUAAUAUUCCUGUACUUGGUGUUACUGCGAAGGGGGGACGGAGAAGGCUAUGUUGGCCGGGCGACGGUUGUCCCGGUUUAAGCGUGUAGGCUGGUUUUCCAGGCAAAUCCGGAAAAUCAAGGCUGAGGCGUGAUGACGAGGCACUACGGUGCUGAAGCAACAAAUGCCCUGCUUCCAGGAAAAGCCUCUAAGCAUCAGGUAACAUCAAAUCGUACCCCAAACCGACACAGGUGGUCAGGUAGAGAAUACCAAGGCGCUUGAGAGAACUCGGGUGAAGGAACUAGGCAAAAUGGUGCCGUAACUUCGGGAGAA
RNAcentral lists this ribosomal RNA (1353 nucleotides) under Escherichia coli. RNAcentral's name for it is "partial 23S ribosomal RNA". It matches the Rfam family "Bacterial large subunit ribosomal RNA", at positions 388 to 1744 of the family's 2925-position model. The record is from RNAcentral. Lineage: Bacteria; Pseudomonadati; Pseudomonadota; Gammaproteobacteria; Enterobacterales; Enterobacteriaceae.